Condylostylus longicornis is the source of this 1249-nucleotide long non-coding RNA. RefSeq lists it as uncharacterized. The record is from RefSeq and is a predicted model, not a curated record. The transcript is spliced from 5 exons. Lineage: Eukaryota; Metazoa; Arthropoda; Insecta; Diptera; Dolichopodidae.
AAAAUAUUCUGUUAGAAGUGGAAGUUGUUUUGUAGAUGCUUUACAAUGUAUGGAUAUAAUUAAAAAAAUAUUGAAAAUAUAAAGAUAAAAUAUGGGCUGCAAGGAGAAGAAUAUUGAAUUUUUAUUUAAAGAUAGAAAAAAGUAUAUGUAUAUUAUUUGAGUAGUAUGUUUUACUAUGAGGAAACUACGUGCAUACUACAUACAUAAGUAUGUAUAAUUAUUUAUAUACGUAAUAGGUACAUGUAUAGGCUCUUUUCGAAUACUAGAAUUAUUCAAUUUGGAAUUAUAUAGUUGAAUAUGGAAUCUUAAAUAAACGAAAUUCAUUGAAUUUCUUGUGCAAAUCAACAUUUGCAACCAGCUGUGAAAAAUAUGAAAUAAUGGCAGAAAAAUGUUUUCUUAGGAGUUGGAGUUGUUAGGAUCCCAACUUUCAGGAAUUAUUCAUAUGACGUUUCAUAUAUUAAACCUAAGGCUUUUAUGGGAACAGUAAUCGAAAUAAAAUUUGUCAGAUCGAAACAUAAAUUAAAAUGCUUGCAGUUGCAAGCUGAGUUACGUUUUUUGAAACUUGUUUCCUGGAGUUUAUAUUUUCAUACUGGGCUACGUUAUGUACAAAUGCACAAUUUAAUUAGCUUUACAUAAGAAUAAAAUAUAUGAAAUAUGAAAAACUGCAAUUAAGUAAAAGUGAGUCGCGUACACUUAGCCCAGGUUUGAGAAAACUACACGAAAAAUGCCCAAUAUGCAUUAGAAAAACAGCUCUCACGGCACUAAAGUACACCUUCCAAGACAAACGACCUCUUUCAAAAAUAUGGCUACUUUCAUAAAAAAAAAAAGCAACAUUAAUAAAAAAAAAUUCCAAUAGGCGACUCAAUAAAUUAAAGUAUAUUGGCCACAGACAAAGGACAUGUUUAUAAAUUGUAUAUGGAACUGGAUAAGGUUUUGGUACUGGAAUUUCAAUUUUUUUAACAACUUCAACUGGAUAUGGUUUUUCAAUUUCAACUGGAUAUGGUUUUUCAACUGUUAUUGGAAUUUUCUUUUCAAUAAUUUCUGGUACUACUUUAUAAACUGGAACUUCUACUUUUUCUUCAACUGGGACAUGAACCUGAAAUUCGUAAUUAAUAUGUAAUUAUAUAACAUAUAGAAUUUAAUAAUAUAAACAUACGGAUGUGGAAUAGUGAUUUUAUAAUAAUUUGGUACAGCAACUGGCACAGGAUGUGGAAUUGGUAAACCAACUUUCUCAUAAACUGGUACAGGA